UACGUAUGGUGCAAGCGUUGUUCGGAUUUACUGGGCGUAAAGCGCGUGCAGGUGGAUCAUUAAGUCAGGUGUGAAAUCUUCGAGCUCAACUCGAAGACUGCACUUGAAACUAACGACCUAGAGUCCCGGAGAGGCAGGCAGAAUUCCUGGUGUAGCGGUGAAAUGCGUAGAUAUCAGGAGGAAUACCAAUGGCGAAGGCAGCCUGCUGGACGGUGACUGACACUCAUACGCGAAAGCGUGGGGAGCAAACAGG
This 253-nucleotide ribosomal RNA is filed under the name uncultured bacterium. RNAcentral describes it as "partial 16S ribosomal RNA". It matches the Rfam family "Bacterial small subunit ribosomal RNA", at positions 524 to 776 of the family's 1533-position model. The record is from RNAcentral.